GACGAACCGUACGAACGUUAUUCGGAAUUACUGGGCUUAAAGGGUGCGUAGGCUGUGCAGCAAGUGGGGUGUGAAAUCCUACGGCUUAACCGUAGAACUGCGCUCCAAACUGCUGUGCUCGAGGGAGAUAGAGGUAAGCGGAACUUACGGUGGAGCGGUGAAAUGCGUUGAUAUCGUAAGGAACACCGGUGGCGAAAGCGGCUUACUGGAUCUCUUCUGACGCUGAGGCACGAAAGCUAGGGUAGCGAACGGG
This 253-nucleotide ribosomal RNA is filed under the name uncultured bacterium. RNAcentral's name for it is "partial 16S ribosomal RNA". It matches the Rfam family "Bacterial small subunit ribosomal RNA", at positions 524 to 776 of the family's 1533-position model. The record is from RNAcentral.